RNAcentral lists this ribosomal RNA (409 nucleotides) under uncultured bacterium. RNAcentral's name for it is "partial 16S ribosomal RNA". It matches the Rfam family "Bacterial small subunit ribosomal RNA", at positions 330 to 738 of the family's 1533-position model. The record is from RNAcentral.
ACCAGACUCCUACGGGAGGCAGCAGUGGGGAAUAUUGCACAAUGGGGGGAACCCUGAUGCAGCGACGCCGCGUGAGUGAAGAAGUAUUUCGGUAUGUAAAGCUCUAUCAGCAGGGAAGAAAAACCGGCCAUAGGGUCGCUAGACGGUACCUGAUUAAGAAGCCCCGGCUAACUACGUGCCAGCAGCCGCGGUAAUACGUAGGGGGCAAGCGUUAUCCGGAUUUACUGGGGGUAAAGGGAGCGUAGACGGCCAGGCAAGCCUGGAGUGAAAGCCCGGGGCCCAAGCCCGGGACGGCUCUGGGAACUGGCCGGCUGGAGUGCGGGAGGGGGAGGCGGAAUUCCUGGUGUAGCGGUGAAAUGCGUAGAUAUCAGGAGGAACACCGGUGGCGAAGGCGGCCUGCUGGACUGCA